Molecule: ribosomal RNA, 429 nt
Filed under: Bacillota bacterium
Lineage: Bacteria; Bacillati; Bacillota
Description: Firmicutes bacterium partial 16S ribosomal RNA
Rfam family: Bacterial small subunit ribosomal RNA
Source: RNAcentral
UAGGGAAUCUUCCACAAUGGACGCAAGUCUGAUGGAACAACGCCGCGUGAGUGAAGAAGGUUUUCGGAUCGUAAAGCCCUGUUGUUGGUGAAGAAGGAUAGAGGUAGUAACUGGCCUUUAUUUGACGGUAGUCAACCAGAAAGUCACGGCUAACUACGUGCCAGCAGCCGCGGUAAUACGUAGGUGGCAAGCGUUGUCCGGAUUUAUUGGGCGUAAAGCGAGCGCAGGCGGAAGAAUAAGUCUGAUGUGAAAGCCCUCGGCUUAACCGAGGAACUGCAUCGGAAACUGUUUUUCUUGAGUGAAGAAGAGGAGAGUGGAAUUCCAUGUGUAGCGGUGGAAUGCGUAGAUAUAUGGAAGAACACCAGUGGCGAAGGCGACUCUCUGGUCUGCAACUGACGCUGAGGCUCGAAAGCAUGGGUAGCGAACAGG